Transfer RNA from Operophtera brumata (winter moth), 73 nucleotides. It matches the Rfam family "tRNA". From Rfam's summary of the family: Transfer RNA (tRNA) molecules are approximately 80 nucleotides in length. NCBI's taxonomy places the organism in Eukaryota, Metazoa, Arthropoda, Insecta, Lepidoptera, Geometridae. The record is from Rfam.
UGUUCUAUGGCCGAACUGGUAAAGGCAUUGCCGAUCAAAGGCAAGGUUGCGGGUUCGAGUCCCGCUGGAACGG